GUACUGGAAGCAUCACACUAUUUGGCAGAAUGAGUAAGACCACACUCCACAGUGGACUAUACCACUUAGUAUGGCUCAUUACUAUAUUGUGGCCUACAUU
This is a small nucleolar RNA of Rattus norvegicus (Norway rat), 100 nucleotides long. Ensembl annotates it as small nucleolar RNA SNORA4. The record is from Ensembl. NCBI's taxonomy places the organism in Eukaryota, Metazoa, Chordata, Mammalia, Rodentia, Muridae.